Molecule: ribosomal RNA, 497 nt
Filed under: uncultured bacterium
Lineage: Bacteria
Description: partial 16S ribosomal RNA
Rfam family: Bacterial small subunit ribosomal RNA
Source: RNAcentral
GAUGAACGCUGGCGGCGUGCCUAAUACAUGCAAGUCGAGCGAACAGACGAGGAGCUUGCUCCUCUGACGUUAGCGGCGGACGGGUGAGUAACACGUGGAUAACCUACCUAUAAGACUGGGAUAACUUCGGGAAACCGGAGCUAAUACCGGAUAAUAUAUUGAACCGCAUGGUUCAAUAGUGAAAGACGGUUUUGCUGUCACUUAUAGAUGGAUCCGCGCCGCAUUAGCUAGUUGGUAAGGUAACGGCUUACCAAGGCAACGAUGCGUAGCCGACCUGAGAGGGUGAUCGGCCCCACUGGAACUGAGACACGGUCCAGACUCCUACGGGAGGCAGCAGUAGGGAAUCUUCCGCAAUGGGCGAAAGCCUUACGGAGCAACGCCGCGUGAGUGAUGAAGGUCUUCGGAUCGGAAAACUCUUUUAUUAGGGAAGAACAAAUGUGUAAGUAACUAUGCACGUCUUGACGGUACCUAAUCAGAAAGCCACGGCUAACUACGUG